GGUGAACCUGCGGAAGGAUCAUUACCGAGUGUAGGGUUCCUAGCGAGCCCAACCUCCCACCCGUGUUUACUGUACCUUAGUUGCUUCGGCGGGCCCGCCAUUCAUGGCCGCCGGGGGCUCUCAGCCCCGGGCCCGCGCCCGCCGGAGACACCACGAACUCUGUCUGAUCUAGUGAAGUCUGAGUUGAUUGUAUCGCAAUCAGUUAAAACUUUCAACAAUGGAUCUCUUGGUUCCGGCAUCGAUGAAGAACGCAGCGAAAUGCGAUAACUAGUGUGAAUUGCAGAAUUCCGUGAAUCAUCGAGUCUUUGAACGCACAUUGCGCCCCCUGGUAUUCCGGGGGGCAUGCCUGUCCGAGCGUCAUUGCUGCCCAUCAAGCACGGCUUGUGUGUUGGGUCGUCGUCCCCUCUCCGGGGGGGACGGGCCCCAAAGGCAGCGGCGGCACCGCGUCCGAUCCUCGAGCGUAUGGGGCUUUGUCACCCGCUCUGUAGGCCCGGCCGGCGCUUGCCGAACGCAAAUCAAUC
This 521-nucleotide ribosomal RNA is filed under the name Aspergillus flavus. RNAcentral's name for it is "eukaryotic LSU rRNA". The stretch from base 207 to 360 matches the Rfam family "5.8S ribosomal RNA". Lineage: Eukaryota; Fungi; Ascomycota; Eurotiomycetes; Eurotiales; Aspergillaceae. The record is from RNAcentral.